Molecule: ribosomal RNA, 438 nt
Filed under: uncultured bacterium
Lineage: Bacteria
Description: bacterial SSU rRNA
Rfam family: Bacterial small subunit ribosomal RNA
Source: RNAcentral
CAGAACGAACGCUGGCGGCAGGCCUCAAACAUGCAAGUCUAGGGGGUGUAGCAAUACAUCACCGGCGGACGGGUGCGUAACGCGUGGGAAUAUACCUAUCGAUUCGGAACAACUGAGGGAAACUUCAGCUAAUACCGAAUACGUCCUAACGGAGAAAGAUUUAUCGUCGAUAGAUUAGCCCGCGUUCGAUUAGCUAGUUGGUGGGGUAACGGCCCACCAAGGCGACGAUCGAUAGCUGUUCUGAGAGGAAGAUCAGCCACACUGGGACUGAGACACGGCCCAGACUCCUACGGGAGGCAGCAGUUGGGAAUCUUGGACAAUGGGGGAAACCCUGAUCCAGCCAUGCCGCGUGAGUGAUGAAGGCCUUCGGGUUGUAAAACUCUUUCGCGCACGACGAUAAUGACGGUAGUGCGAGAAGAAGCUCCGGCUAACUUCGUG